GGGAGUUCUUCGUUGUUUUCACUAUACUUUUAGAGAAUUACAUAUUACAAGUGAACAAUCAUGAUGCCUUUAAUGCUUGCUAACCUUCUAUUUAUAGAUGUGAGAGUGAGCCCUACAGGCCCUAGGCCCAUGAACACUAAUAAUUGGAUUUAGGCCCUUUAAUGCCUUAAUACACUUUAGUUUUGACUUGAUCCAUUUGCGAUGUCCUUCGUUGCUCAUGUUGAGUAGCUCCCUUGAGCUGCGCAGGCUAGUCUUUGCUGCCGAGUAACCUGGGUAGUCUGCGCCGCCAAGUCCCGUAGUCUGCGCUGGCGAGUCCCUUAAUCUGCGCUGCCGAGUAAUCUGGGUAAUUUGCGCCGCCAAGUCCCGUAGUCUGCGCUGGCGAGUCCCUUAAUCUGCGCCGCCAAAUCCCGUAGUCUGCGCUGGCGAGUCCCUUUAUUAUCUAAGGUCUUCAAUUAAACCUGCACUGGUUGGCCUCGUUCAAUAAGAAUAAUGAUAACAGUAAUAGUAAUCAAGUAAGAUGUUUCUGUAUUGCUAAGUACAGCGCUGAUGAGUAUUCUAGUCCUCAUCAGUGAAACAAGAAACUUUACCCUAAUUAUAAAACGAUAAACGAGACAAGAUGUACGUGGUUCGAUCAUAAAUGAUCUACGUCCACGGGAGUUCUUCGUUGUUUUCACUAUACUUUGAGAGAAUUNUGCCAAUGGUCGGCUCAGAGGAUGGGAGCUCGGUGCGGCGGUGGUGGCUGGUUUUCGCUGCGAUUAGGGUCUUCAAUCGGAGGUUAAAGUCAUGGAAGAAGGGCGGCGGCUUCAAUCGAAACCUGCGCUGAACCUGGUCUAGGUUCGCUGGGUCACAGCGGUCGAGCUCGACUUUUCUGAGGAUGAAUGAUUUGAGAGUUGGGAGUGGCCGCAGCCAUCUUUUGACCGGAGUAUUUGAAGAGAAGAGAGAGACCGAGACGUGUAUCUGCAGUGGCUAGAAGACCGAGAAAAUCAAGGCAUAGAUUCAAUUUUUCCCAUCGUAGAUCCAGAUAUACCAAGAGUAGCGAUUUUUUCUUUUUAGAAGAGAGAAACCGAGACGAAGAGAUGCAGAAGGCGACACAGGUCGAAUAGCGCCAGACCUUGCCGGAUUAUCAGGAGCCACUGUGGCGGCUGGAACAGUCGGCGAAUUUCGUGGUUGGAACUUGGAACAGUCGGCGGAUUUUGAGGAGAGAAGGGGCGAACUCUGAGAUGAGAGAGAGAGAGAACGAAUCCCCCUUUUCACAAAUCCCUUUCUCGAUUCAGAUUUUUUCAGAAUUCUCGAUGAUGAAAAAUUGGGUCAGGAUCGAGAAAUGUUACACGCCUGAUUGGGGAUAUUGCGGAUAUCGCCGAUAGAGUGUUGCCGGAAUCUGGAAAUUGAAAAAAAAACAUAUCCGGAAAAUAUGUUCCCGCAAGAACCGAGCCCUCCAUUUUCUUUCCUUGAAAUUGAAACGAUGAACAGUAGCCUGACUUCAAAAUGAACAGUAACUCAAAUCCCUAAUUUCCCAAAUCUAUUUUCGAUGAACAGUAACCCUCCUCCCUUUAUUCGAUGAACAGUAAAUCCGAAUCUGGAAAUUCCAAAAAUCGAGAAGAAUGCUCCUUGAAACUCACGCCUUAAGCUUAAUUUCUCACAGACGGCGCCAGUUGGUGAAGCAUGAAAUCUUACCCUAAUUAAGAAAACGAUAAACGAGACAAGAUGUACGUGGUUCGAUCAUAAAUGAUCUACGUCCACGGGAGUUCUUCGUUGGUUUCACUAUACUUUGAGAGAGUCUUUACAUAAGUGUUGCUUAGAAAGAUAAAUCCCCCCUUUAAUGCUAAAGCUAACCUUCUAUUUAUAGAUGUGAAAGUGAGCCCUAAAGGCCUUAGGCCCAUGAACUCUAAUAAUUGGAUUUAGGCCCUUUAAUGCCUUAAUACACUUUAGUUUUGAGUUAAUCCAUUUGCGCUGUCCUUCGUUGCUCAUGUUGAGUAGCUCCCUUGAGCUGCGCAGGCUAGUCUUUGCUGCCGAGUAACCUGGGUAGUCUGCGCCGUCAAGUCCCGUAGUCUGCGCUGGCGAGUCCCUUAAUCUGCGCCGCCAAAUCCCGUAGUCUGCGCUGGCGAGUCCCUUUAUUAUCUAAGGUCUUCAAUUAAAC
RNAcentral lists this long non-coding RNA (2137 nucleotides) under Salvia miltiorrhiza (redroot sage). RNAcentral describes it as "long non-coding RNA (SMIL_LNC010521)". The record is from RNAcentral. Lineage: Eukaryota; Viridiplantae; Streptophyta; Magnoliopsida; Lamiales; Lamiaceae.